UACAGAGGUGGCAAGCGUUGUUCGGAAUUACUGGGCGUAAAGAGCUCGUAGGCGGUUUGUUGCGUCGGCUGUGAAAUCCCGAGGCUCAACCUCGGGUCUGCAGUCGAUACGAGCAAACUAGAGUGUUGCAGGGGAGACUGGAAUUCCUGGUGUAGCGGUGAAAUGCGCAGAUAUCAGGAGGAACACCGGUGGCGAAGGCGGUUCUCUGGGCAUUACCUGACGCUGAGGAGCGAAAGUGUGGGGAGCGAACAGG
This 253-nucleotide ribosomal RNA is filed under the name uncultured bacterium. Its description in RNAcentral is "partial 16S ribosomal RNA". It matches the Rfam family "Bacterial small subunit ribosomal RNA", at positions 524 to 776 of the family's 1533-position model. The record is from RNAcentral.